RNAcentral lists this long non-coding RNA (18028 nucleotides) under Gallus gallus (chicken). The record is from RNAcentral. Lineage: Eukaryota; Metazoa; Chordata; Aves; Galliformes; Phasianidae.
UUCUGGGUUCCAGGUUAGAUACAGCCUCUGACAGGUUAUAAUUGUAGGUGAGCUGGAACCAAAGCUAGUGUUUUAUGUGAAGACUUCUGCAGGUGGUGGCUUGGACAAGGUUAGCAACCCAAAGCAGUAUUACUGCUUAUUCCAUCCAGGAGGAAAGGCACUGCUCUGCUGCUCCUGCUGCUGCUUCCUCCUCCUGUGCUGCUGUUUGAUCUGAUGCAAGCCGUUGCAAGUGAGGCCAUUGCUUGCUAUCAGAUACCUAAUCCCACGCAGAGCUGUUGGAGCAGCUACAUAGGGCCUCAGGGUGAUGCUGGUGGCAAUGCUGUGUGGCAGGAGAGGUUCUUAGUAGCACUUCACAUCUGGAGCUUCCUCCUCCUCCACCUUUCUCCCCUCCUCCUUUCUCCCCAGGCAUAUUCUUUCACAUGGCUUUCCUAUAGUGUGCAGCAGCUCUGGGGAGCUGCAGAGGUGCAUAUUGCUUUGCAAGCAAGCCAUGACGAGUUGUUUAUGGUUUUUAUGUAAAAAUGGAGACAUCUGAAAGGAAACUGUAGACAAGUAGAUGUCAUUUCUUUCAUUGAUGUUGGUGGUCUAGCCUUCAAGCUAGUUCUUUUAUUUGCUGCUUCUCUCCAAGCCCUGUGAUUUUCAGCCUACUUAUUUUUUUUUUAAUUAAAAAAAAAGGCAGGAUGUUGCUGCAUCUCUGCUCCAAAUACAGCGCUUCCCUUUCUGAAGUGCAGGGUUUGCCAGACCUCCCCACCUUUCUCCGGUCCUGGUGAGCUGCUCAUGCCCCAUCUGUGCUUUAAAAGCUACUUGUUUUUAAUCUACAAGGUUAUUUUUAUGAUAAUGCAGUUACAGUUCUGUGAACUGUCUUAAACUGUCAUGUCUCCAUUAUUCCCCUCCUCUGGAAAACACCGGAGAUGGCCUUUGCAGGGAUAUCUUAAGGGAAUAGACCCGAGAGAGUUUAGGAAGUGUUGAAAAGAGAAGCAAAUAAGUUGUAAUUAAAAUGAGUCUGGGCACUGAGUAAAGGAUCCUUAAAACUCUUUCAACUUAAAAUGAGUCUGCAAGAAAGCUGGGCAGGGUUUUGGGGUAGAAUUUCUAACCUCAGAGUCCUUGCUGCUAAAAGCUGCUUCUUCUCUUGUGGCUUCAGGCUGGAGCAUGAGUUUCCACAAUUAUACUGUGAACAGGAGCAUGAGCCUAUAUAUAGGAUAUAACACAUAGUGUUAAAAAGCUGCAUAUGGCAAAUGAGCACCCACACAUGACCUAAAAAUACACAGUGCAGCCCAAUUUGUCAUUGAAUGAAGUCAUGCUUAGGACCGCAGUGCUCAAACAGUUCGGUUUCCCCACCUCCCUUCCCCUCCCUCCCCCUGUAAUUUUUUUUAAACUAUUCAAUGCAAAUUUUCUGAUGUAGAGUGUUGGUGUGGGGCUGCCUCCAUACCCAUCCAUUUGCAAUCUGUGCAUCAAUCUAGGAAGGCUCUACAUGAGUUGCUUUAUGGCAGAGAUUUUGGUUUAAUUUCAGGCCAAAGCCACCCUUUUUUCUCCUCAAUCUCCAAACUUACUGAAUGGUUAAAACACACAAACAGAGGAAGAAUGUAGUAUAGUAUAGUGAUGUCCUUUAACAACUGUAUGUUACUGGGGAUGGGGGCAGCUUGCUGUGCUUGCCAGUGCUUCUCAGUGAGCAUCAGGGGAUGGUCAGAUCCUUCAUGAGGCAGGUAAAGCAAAAACCUGCCACCACUAGAUGGGUAGAUAAGUCUGAGAUAGAUAGAAAUUAAUUCCUGUGAAAUACCACACAUUGAAUCUUAAUCUUUAAUAUACCGCUGGAUACUGUUACCUUAUUCUUCCAGCUCCCAUCCUUCAGAGGUUUCUCCUUCAAGAUCAUCUAAAGCAAUCUCUCUUAUGCAGAACACUUAGAGGAUAUUAAAUGAGCUAUCUUACUUCCUUCUUGCUUCAAAGCCUCCUUGUUUAGAUUCAGAGGGGAAAUAAUGGAAUCAUAAUCCCUCUCAGUAUAAAAAUGUUAGGAUUAAAAAGGAAGGCACUCAGUUUGUUAAAUUUCUUCAUUCUUUCAGAGCUGCCGCCAGCAGUGUCUCUCCAAUUUGAUCGUUCUUCAAGAGAAAGCUGAAAAUGAAAUAUUUGCGGGCUUUCCUAAACAGAACUAGAUUGAAGGAAGGCAGUGGUUUUCUUUUUUUCUGUCUCUCUUUAUCCUUAAAUGCAGAAUGUUCUGUCUGUUCUUUUGAAACACUUAAUCUAGUGAUAAGUACAUAACUAUAGUACUUCUUGGUGCUUAUGUAAAUGUGUUCAGCAACAAAAUUUGGAAACUGUUAUGUCAGGUUUUAUCAUCCCAUGCAUUUUCUUUAAAUGACAGGUGCUCUUUUAACAUUGUUCAGAAAAAGCAGAAGAGGAAAACUUCUGUUUCUCAUUCACAGUAUAAUGUAUUAAUGACACCGAUAAAUUUCCAGAAGGUUUCAAAUUGUGGGGCAAUGAAAAAAUCUAUUAAAAAACUCAUGGCAAAACUGGAUGGAGGGAUGACACUCAAAAUGGAAUAUAUGGAAAUGUUGAGGCAAGUACAAAAGUUACUCAGGCAUGUUUGGACUGACUAGGAGUGGCAUCUAUCUGGCUUUAUUGCAAAAAUAUUCCAGCACAGGUCUGGGGCUGGAUGCGUGCAGCCCCCUGACCUGUGUGUUGAGAUGGCAGCUCCUGGCUCUUCUGGACAGAAGGAGUCAGGUGAGGUCAUUGCUCUGCUCGUAGAGAGGAAAGAAAACAUUUAGACUUUGAAUUUGAAUAUAACUUUUCAACAGAUCUCCGGUGCUUUUUCCUGCCUUUGAAUAAAUUGGAACUUUGCGAAAGCUUUCCCUGUAUCUUUUCCUGCUUCUGAGAGCAGCUUUAAGUAACCAUUCUGAUGCUCCAGGGAUCUCCCACCUUGACUGUUUCCAGCUUAUCAUUUACUGCAGUGCCAACUUAUCCUUAGGUACCCCACCUUGUUUGCUUGCAUUGCACUUUGUUCAUUUAUCUUCUGGAUUCAUCUUCAGAACAUGAUGAAAAUUCCGAGCCCCAAUAAGCUUUUGGCAGCUGGUCAUCCUAGUUAAAGCAGUUCCAUAUUUCUGGAAGAGAUGCCAUUUUACAGAGUGUAAAGUAGGGGAUACAUAAUUCCAGAAUACCUGUUUUGUAGAACUGUACAUCAGCAUAGCAAAAUAAUCCUAUUCCAGCUAUGAACUUCGGAUUGCAACAUAAGAAGGUCUUGCUAAGAAAAAACAUCCAAACUUCAAAUACUGUUAUAGUCACUGUGAGUCAGCUUGUGGAAUUAUAUGCUAUAUGUUAUAUCAACACAUUCAAACUUUCAACAGUACCAAGGGAACCAAAAUUCCUUUAAAAAGGAAUUUAGAUUUAAAAUUUGGAAACUUCUUGGAAGUUGAUAACCAUGGAAAGUCAGUGUUCAGUUAAUUGGUUAACUGUGUUGGCAAAGGAGUCUGAAAUCCAAUACCAUCUGUUUUGCUAGAUCUUGCCUUAAAACAACAACAGACUGUGUCAAUCUUGAAGCACUUUUUAAUAUAUUUUUAGUUGCUGCAGAACAAUUCAUUUUUGAAUCCUUCUUUCUUUGCAUCUGAAGGAAUACAUUCUCGUCCAAGUCAAAGGAAAAUAUCGCAAAUGGAAUAAAACUAUGCUGGGAUGUGAUAGAUCUUUGAAUCUUCUGUGAUAAUAUUUUUUGAGAUGUGAUAGUAUAUCAAAGAGAAAAUUAAUUAUGUAGUGAUUUUUCCUAACACCUGGAGCUCAUGCUGUUGCUGCUUCUGCUGCUGGCUAGCUGUUGUUUUUCAUAAAUUACUCUGUAGGAAAAAAAUUAAAUCCAGUGAAAUGAUGGAAAAAAAGAAGUCAUGGCUAGAAAGGAGGAAAGAAAUAUCUAAAUAUUUACCUACCACCCAACAAGUUCAGAAUCUUCAGGAAUUUCCAUUUUUCUUGGCUUGUUUCCUUGGCUUAAAGCUUGGAAAAGAAACCUGCCUAGAUAUCUGGGAUUCAAUAAUAAUAAUAAUCUCAGCCUAUGUCCUGGGUACUUAAGUAAAAAAAAAAAAAAAAAAAAAAAAAAAAAAAAUCCCCUAAAACACAAAAACAAGAAAACCAACUCCACAGCACCCCAAACAGUAAUAAAUGAAUUAAUCUAGAGAUGUUUCCAAUCAUACGCAUUAUGGUUCCAUCUCAGAAUUUAAUGAAGGCCUUUUAUCCACUGCAAGGGACUUCCACUGAUGCAUACAAAUAAGGUCAUUCAGCAAGAUGCAAUAGGGAUAUUUUCUCUCCGUUAUAUUUUGAUUAUGGCACCUCUCAUUUUGACUUUGGGUUUGCACAGCGUACAUUUACAGGUUCUGUGGAACUGUUGUUUGCAGCAGCAUUUUUUAAACAAUGAUGGGGGAUUAGAAAAGAGUGGGAGGGUUCUUAAUUCUUGUGGAAACAGGCUCAUCUUUCAGCCAGAUUCAUGAGAUGCAAAGUGAGUGGCAGCGUCAUCUGGUACAGUUUCUUUCUUCAGAGUCCACAGAGUUUUUUCUGAGCAAGAGCGCUUUCAGUUUUCGCACCCACAAUAACCAUGAUUUAUAAAUGAUUUUUAUAUUUGAUUGCUAUGUAAUUUCUGAAAGCUCUAUCAGGUUCUAAGAAAAAAUAAUCACAAAAUAAAAAUUGUAAUUCCACGUUUGUUUCCUCUGUUUUCAUUUUUCAGUAUACACUUGUUAAUGUAUUACAGUAGCAAUGCCUCUAACAGUUUUGCAUCAGUGCUGACUGGUUGAUUAAUUGUUCUUGUUUUCUGAUCUUCUUUAAGGCGAGUAGAUGCAAACAUCAGGGCUGCGAUAGCUUUUCUAAGGGAUUCCUCUGUUUUCAUCUUCUGUGGAAUUUUCUGCAAUUAGAUGUGUUAUUUGACUUUGAUCAUCACCAAACAAUGUAAAGGAUGAUCCUUGUUUUACCAUGUGUGCUGUUGGUCCCUGGCCACCAUAAUUUUAGUAUUUUUGCAGUCUAAAUAUAGUCUUUUUUUUUUUUUUUUUUUUGUAUAUAGAAAAAAAAUAUGUAUUUCUUCUGUAGUGGAGCAUGGGAGUUUUUUCUUGUUAAUUUGUUAUGCUUGAGAGUCAGGAGGAAACAUUAUGAUUGUCAGUCUCUACUGCUAAAAUAAACACCUGGAUUUAUCACAGUAUUUGUUCUAAUCAGCAGGAAAUGUUUAUCUAUGAAAAAGUUCUUGUCAUAUAUUGUCAAUGAGUUAUAUAUCUCCACUUUGUGUAUAGGGAACCCUAUUCUUUUCCACUACCUGACACAAAUGCCCUGUGCUUCACCCCAGAUUCCUGUGUAGGGAUUAUUCUGUGGUCACAUGGGAGGCAAGUCAGAAGAAAGAUAUUACUUUGGUGCUAUUCUCUGUGGGCUGAUUCAUUUUCUUUGUCUUUAUUUUGCACAUUUGUAACCCUAUGCUAAACUGUGAUAUUCUUCAUGCUAGUAUAAAACAGCAUCCCUCCUUCAUCCUUCCAAAUACACUUCUUAACAACGGAUGCCAUUCCACAAAGUGAAUUUUGUAGAAAAGGGGAAUUAAGCAUUAAGUAUAUCAGAUUAUUUAGAGCACAGCUAAUAUAAGACAUGAAGCAAAGUUGAGCUAUAUUAAUUGCUGAUGGUGGUUUUAAAUAGAUGUGUAGCUAAGCACCACCACACCAUUCUUUCAUUCCCCCCCCCCUUCAAAAAAAGGACAAGGGGGAUAAAAUAUGAUGAAAAAAGGCUCACGGAUCGAGAUAAGGAUGGGGAGAUACCUCACCAGGUACUAUCACAGGCAAUGCAGACUGAGGGAGACUAAUGUAAUUUAUUGCCUAUUACUAAUGGAAUAAAGCACUGAGAAACUGAAUGCAAAACUAUACAUGCCUGGGCGCUGCAGUCAGUCCAUGAUGCUUCAUCUCUCCUGCUUGUCCGUGGCCACUCUCUGCCUGUGCUCUAUAUGGGGUCCCUCCCACAGGAUACCAUCCUUCACAAGCUGAUCUUGCCUGGGCUUCCCACAGGCUGCAGCUCUCCAAGCACUGCUCCAACAUGGCUCUGUACCACAGGGCCCACCCUUCAGGACUGCACUGCUCCAGCACAGCUUCCCACGGAUGGCAGCUCCCCCAGCCCUCCUGCCCCUCUGUGGGCUCCUCUCCUUGGGCUGGUGCUCCCGUGAAGGUAUCCAUGGGCAGCAGCCUCCUCCAGGCCUCAUCCACUGCUGCACAGUGGGCUCCUCCAUGGCUGCACGUGGAGAACUGCUGAUGUGUUACAUUUCUGUUUAGAGUCAUUGCAAUUGUACAUCCAUUUCAGUAAUCAUAUCAUAUAACUCUCAUAUCAUAACUCUCAUAUUUUUUUUAAUGGAAUUUUUUUUUCAUACUAGGGAGACUGAAGUCUUCCUUUGCUUUUCUGGUGGAUGUUGUGAAGAAUAUGGAGUACUGUGUGAUGUAGUUCGUGUGGAAUCAUGGAAAAUAGCAUGAGAUGUCCUUCACUGUGUUUGAGCUGGAAUCAAUUGUCCUUGUGACAUUUCUGGCAGAUGUUUGUCUAAUCUGUUCUUAAAAAGCUCCACUAAUGAUAAUUUGCCAGUCACCCUUGGCAAUCUUUUCCAAUGCCCAACCACCCUUGACAAAAGAAAGACUUUUCCUUACAGUUAGUCUUACUACAGGGCUCAAGUAUGAACAGGCCUAAAUGUUUACUGUAGUUCAUUUGUUUUGGUUUGGUUUGUGGGCUUCUUUGGCCUUGACAACGCCCUUGACUCUGCUCACGUGAAUCUUAGUCUGCUGGUGAGAUGUGUGGUGUCUUCUAAAAUAGUCUCUGGGUGCAGGCAUUUCUUUGCUACACAGCAUGCACAUGCUCUUGUGCUCUCUUGAGAAUUUCUUUUUCUUUUAUUUAUCUUUCAACUUUCUUUCACAUGCAUAAUAAUUGACUGUUAUUUGCUUGGAAUUUUUUAAGCCUGUUUUGUGAGUGUGAACCUCUAUACUUGUCGGACUCUUCCAAACAGAUUCUCGCACCUUCUGAAAUGAUCUGUGGAAGUCAAGUUAGAACAUGCCCUGACUCUUUCAGACUAAAUGCUUUAGAUUUAACUUCCAUGCAAGCCAGGCCAGAAAUCCCCCAGAUUUGGGGAGAGAAUAUCUGCUUGGGACUUGUCCAGCCAGCGCUUUGGACUGUAGCAGAUACGUACACACAAACCUUGAAACUCAAGUUGUUCCUCUUUCCCUAAGAUGAACUGGAAUUACAAGUUCUCGACCUGCAUUCUUAUUCCUUUUUUUUUUUUUUUUUUGAGGACAUUAGGUGCAGAGGGUCUAGGAGAUGGCGCAAAAAUACUUUUUUUACCUACAGACUGUGUGCCUCCUUGUUUAUUGUGCUAUGGAAACUACGCCUCUGUUCUGUAAAGGUGCACAGCUUGUAGAUGUUUCUCUCGGUAGCCCAAUUUACUUCUUGGAAAUUAUAACAGCUUGGUAAGAAGAGCAGUUCGUCAAGGAAGGUGUAAGUUCUUCCUGGGGAGUCUCUCUGAGAGAAUCUCUCUUGAAACACCAGACCACCAUUUUCUUGAGGUUUUUUGUGAAUACGGAGAUUUUUUUGUUUAUUUGUUUUUGUGACUUCUUUUCAUAACAAGAAGAACCUGCAACACUUUCAGUGUAACAGACAUGUAAAAAAUUUGUUCUAUUGGAAGCUUAAUAGUUCAUUAUAAAUUGGUUCCAAGGGGCAGAUGUUUUAACAGCCUGCACUGAAUUUUACCUGCAAAAGGCCCAUGUAAAAUACUUCAGCCAUGUGCCAUAGUUUUUAUUGUGAGAAGGCGUACUCCACUGAAUUGGUUAUUAAAGUGCACAGCAUUGAGUGCUGUCUUCUCAUUACAUAAAAGAUUUUGUAUGUAGUUACUAGGCUUCAUUACCUGGGUUUUAAAUAGAUGUGUAGGGCAUUUGGAUCAGUUGUCACCAUCCAAGAACAACUCUUGAAAUGAAGGCGAGCAAUUUGUGCUUAAUGUAGUAGAAAAAGGGGGAGCCCAUAAGAGGGCUGGCAGGAUGAAAUAGGGGGAAUGUGCUUGAGGCAGUAAUCCAGAAAGAUGAUUUUUGCAUUUGCAUUUUGAAUGGAUUUCAGGGGACAAGAUUGCUUCUGUCAUGGGCAGGAGGAAGGAGAUUAUCUCACAUCUCAGCUGCAGUAAUAAGGGCCAGGAUGAACGUUCUGGUUUUAUGAAUAGGAAUAGAAGGCAAGGUGCUGAAGUUGCUAAAGCAGGCAAGAUUCUGAGUCAGAGUUGAUAUCCUGGUGCCAUCAGAAGGGCAAUAGUGACUGAAAGAGGAGAGGUUGCAGGGCAGCUGCAUGAUUCCAUUGCAUCAGAGUGUGUUUCUGUUGAACUAUAGGCAGUUCACAGGGGGAAUUAAGCAUUCAAAUGUCUGUACCUUGACAUUGUAUUGUUGUAUCACAUUUUUGUCUAAAUUCUACAGUAUGUUUACAAACUCAGAUUUGCGACUUGCUGUGGUUGUGCCACAGAAUAGUAUAGCAUUCUCCUCUGUAGAUUGGGAAGGUAAACAGACUACACCUUCCUUCCAUGAGCAUUGCAUUUCAUCCCCCCAAUAAGGGAAAUAAUGUGUACAAAAAUCUAACUGUAGUGCCUAAGCUGUGAAAAAGAAUGGGUUGCUACUUUGGAUAAGGUAAAGUAUUCUGUGCUAUGGCUAAAAUAGUGGGUUUUUUUUUUGAGCAUUAGGAAGAAAAACUGAAAAUUUUCUUAGUAACCAAACACAUUUCUUAAAACUCAUUGCUUACAGAAAAGCUCAUUUUUCAGUAAGAGUUCAAACUCUCUUUUUACUUAUCCUAUUUUAAUCUCUAUUUCCUGUUUGUUUUCAUCAUUUGUAGGCUGGGAAGAAAGCUGCUGUGUCUUAUGGAUUUUCCACAGUACUGUUUCUAUUUCUGCUAUGAGAAUUUAGCCUUUAAGGCUGUACAACAAAAGGCCUUUCUUUCUUUGCAGUGCUUUUGGUGGAUGGCAAAGAAGUUAGAACCAAUAGCCAUAAUAGAGGUCAAAAUAGCUGGUUUUCUCAUGACGUUCAUGACAAAUAGUAAACAGAAUAGACAAAAAAAAAAAAAAAAAAAAAAAAAAGUGUGUUAUAGAAAGCUUGUCACCAUGGUGGAAUUAUAAUAAGUCUCAGACAGAUGCAUGGUAAAGAUGGCUGUGAAAGAACCUUUCUGCCAAAGCUGUUUCUUGAUUUGGCCAGGACUUCUAAACUGAUUUACGUUUAAAUCUGAAGAUAUAUGUUGAGUAUUAAAAAUCUUUACUGGAAAUUCUUUUGGCUUAUUAAAAGGACACAUUUUGAAGUAAUAUACUUAAUCAUUUUACUUGCUGGCUUGCCUUCACCCUGUCAGGCAGCUAGGAUUAAGAAAUUCAACUAGUUCUGCUUUAUGGCUUUUCCUCCCACCCUUGCAGAACAGUGCUCUUUUGUUUGGGCUCUUAGCACUUCAGGUGAAAGAUUUUAAAUUCCUACAAACCUGUCUUUCCACUUACUGGAGCAGUUUGUGAAAAUACUACUUUUCACAGCAAGAUUUUAUAAUUACAGUGUAUUCGCUUUCUGUUUUCCUCACACUUUCUCAAAAUACUCAUUUUUUCUGUAGGGGCAUACUUUCAGUGAUAGAUGUACUGUUUUUUUUUUUUUUUUUUUUUUUUCCCCUAUGUGUGUGUGUGGUAACACAGGUCUUUGAUCACCUUGACCGUAAUCUGAAUGAAGCAGGCCUGCUCUGUUUUUUUUUUCCAGCUUUGGGCCUAGUCAGGGCCUGUAGAAUAGUAGAAAAUCUGGAUGCCAUCUGGACAGGAUCUUGCUGCUCAGGCACAAGGGCUGGGAAUCCUGCACCACUCCUCCAGGGAGCGUCAUCUUGUGAUUAUUUUUUUUUAAUUGCACUGUGGGAGAACCCAAAGAUUUUCUCAGGAUUGUGAAAAUACCCAGUCUGCCUUUCCCAAAUGUUCUGAGGCCUCUCUCUCUCAUUUUUUUAUUUUUAUUUUUUUUCCUCCUGAGGAAGGCCGUGAAAAUCACUGCAUAAUGCACUUGGUUAAAACAUUAAUGUAAGAUGUGACUUGAAUAAACCCUGGAGCUAACCUCACAUGAAGCGUGCUUAUUUACUUAAACUGAGCAAAGAAUUAAUAAAGUAUGUUAAUUUAACUGAGGUUUUCCAAUCAACUGAAGACAUUUCUUUAUUCUUGUUGUGAUAAUGAAUAAUUGCAGGGAAUCGUUCUGAAUACUUUUGUAUUUUCUCCUUCUGAAAUACAAAAUCACAAAUGCAUGGGCAGUAUCCAAACAUGUAAUUACUAAAAAAAAUAUUCAAACAAUAUUUGCUUUUUCCUGGGUGUUUGUAUUGGAUUCAGGGUUGCAGAAGAUCCUGUUGUAUAUAUAUGUCAACCACUUCUGUGUCACAAGCAGGUACAUGUUAAGUUCUCAACCCAACUUUACACAGUGCAGCUGAGGACUUCACUUCCUUGAGAAAAUGACGUUAAAAUAUGUCUCUUUCCUGUUGGCCAAAAAAAAAAAAAAAAAAAACCACCCACAGAAAAACAAAAAACGAACAAAAAAAAAAACACAACAAAACAAAACAAAACCCAAAAAACAACCCAGAAAUCAGUAUUUGUAAUUCACAUAUGGAGAUACUGUUAUUUAAAACAUUUUCAACUAUAUCAACUUUCAACAGAAGAUUGAGUAAGGAAGCAUGGCAAUGUGAGGACAGCUCCUUUCUCAGCCCCUCCUGGACGUACCACACAGUAAGGAGCAUGCGUUAACUGCUGGCUGCAAAAACACAGGGAUACCAAGCACCUCAAGUUUUGCUGUAAGGUAAAUUAACUGUGGUCAGCUGUAGACUUCACCUUACUUCCUUAUUACCCUAAGUGCCUUGCACUCAAUGAAUUUACAGUGAAUUUUUAAGUAAUGACUUCUUUAUUAUCUUAUGAAUAACAAAAAGCAAAUCAUCCUUGUUUUGUUGAGGACAAAGCCAACAAAUUCCUGACUUGCCCCUGCUGAAUAUGUCUCUUUUUCAAGCUGUAGCAUGGUUGUGAACAUGGCUUGGAGCUGCUGCCCUCUGCUAAUGACAUCCUCGUUUCCUCCUGCUCCACUUGAGGUUGCAGGACUGAAUUUCCUGUUCAAGAAAAAUGGAACAAAAAUAGGUUGGGGAAUAAAACCAUAUAAAUAGUUUAUAUGGUUGCUCACAAUAGCCUUUUGAUACUGUGUUAUCAUUUGUAAUAUUGGAAGUGUUUUUACUUUUGUAACAUUCAAAACAGGGUAUUUCUGGUGGUUAAAUUUCGGUGUAAUUAGAGGUCUGGAAGGGAACUGUUCAAGUGUCUGCUUCCAGUGUGCUAACACAGCACAUUUGUUCUGGUAUGAUAAUCUUGUCAUACUGUUAUGUGAACUGUCAGAUUGAUAGGUGAAGGUUUUCCUGUAAUCUGAAGGAUGGUGUUUUUUUCUUAUUUUCAAGUAUAUUUUUAAGAGAUUUCUCUGUCUUUUCAAAUAUCUGACAUGAUCUUUCAGUGGGACAGCACUGUAGGCUUCCCUCAGAGUAGAAGAGCCUUGUACAUUGCCACCAUUAACAACUGUUAAUGCAUUCUGCUAAGCAAGACAGUGAGCAUUAAUACAUGAUCUGCUAAUAUGUGCAGGCAGAAGGUUCUUCUGUUCAUAGGACAGUAAUUGUCAAAAUGAAAGCCACUGGUUUGUGCUUCCUAUUUCUCACCAGAAGCUUUUGUGAUCCAGACUGUGUAAUUAUACCUAAAGGAGAGCUGCCCCAAUUUGUCACUGAAGUAGCUGUAGAGAUGUGGGCUGAAGUCACGAGGGAAGAACGAGAAUGCUGUAGCAUUAAAGUUCAUUUGUAAGUUUGAGGUGAUGACUGCUCAUGAUCCACCAGCUUUUUACCAAGGCUCAAAAUGUUUUGCAACAAUCAAGCUUACUUCAGCUUUCUUUGUAUUAACACCUGAGUUGAAGGAGUUAUCUAUUUGCCAAUAUCUUGUUUUCUUAGGAUAAUCUUGCCUAAAAUUGUAUUUCAGUGUGAGUGGAUUUUUUAUUUCUUUCUACUUUCUUGCUGCAGGCCAAGGAUGGGCACUGACAUUUUCUGGAUAUGAAGUAGAUGAUUGUUCUGUAUUCAAUGAUAUUAUUUUGGGCUGAUGAGGCGUUAAUAAGGGCAAAUACUGCUAGAUAUCAUCUGAUGGUAGAAAGGAAUGCAUAAGUCAUGAUUCCUUUGGCUUCUAUUUUUAGGACUUGAAUUUUCAUCGGCUUUAAAAACUUUUAUUGUUGAUCUGAUUUUUAUUGUUUAGCUUGCAAAUUUGUGUUGUUACAUGUUUAACUUCCAUAUCCAUUAGCUAAUUUCUCUUUCUUUAGAUUCUUUAGGUGCUUGAAGAUGGAAUGAGUCAGUGUUUUGCAGGUGAAGGUUUAGACAAGUUAUGGAUAAAAUAAUAAUAAAGACUCUGUCUAGAUUCUUAUCUGGGCACAGUAGAGGCAGAUGGUUGAGAGAUGAAGAUGAAUCUGGGUGGUCUUGAUGUCAGACUGCUGUGAGCAUGAAUGCUCACAGCUGGGGGACGGGGAGAGAAAAAAGAUCCUGAAAUUCUGAAACAAGCCUAUUAGUCCUUAGUUUCGCAGUGCAAGGAACCUAUCUUACCUGAAAAGUUCUUCAGCUAGCUAUUUUAGCAUUGCUUAUCUUAAAAGCAGAACCAGAUAACUGUAAUGCAGUCAGGAAUACCUAGCUUAUUGUGGGGGUAUAAAAACCGAUAGAAGAGUAGAGGUUUUCUGGAAGCUAAGCCUCUUCACUCCUCCCAUACUUUUAUUUGUUUUAUUAACAAAUCAGAGCUUUAACAAAUUAAGCUUGGAGCAUUUCGGUGGUAUGGAGAAGUUUAUGGAGAAGUGCAUUACUAGAGCUGUAACUGAAGUGAUUUCAUAGUUUAUUUUUAGACUCCCUGGAUUUAAGCUUGCUAAUUGAGGGUGAGGGUGAGAAGGGAAGGUUUGCUUGCAGUUGGGUUAAGCCAAGGUUAUCUCUAUUUGCCCCCAGCCUAGAAGAGCUGGCAGAAGAAUUUACUGAACCUCAUGAACUUGUAUAAACCUGGCCUGUAACACCCCUUACCCACCCACACCCCCUUCAAGCUUUUUCAGCCUCCCGCUCCAGCCAGCUUCACUAAUAAGCACACCACGAUCCUGGCCAGCCCAUGCUGGGAGGAUAUUAAAUAUUUUUUAGCCUAAAACUCCUGCUCCCUGCUCCUCUUUAAUUUUCGUAUCCACCCGUUAUGCUUCUGCACACUGCAGGGAAGAACACUGUCAUUCUCUCUUAUCUUGUUGGCUAUGAGGGCAGUUUCACAAUGUCUCUAUGUCUCAGCUUUUCACCUACCACAGAGUUAAUGCCUUAAAUUGGGCGAAAUCUAGCACUCCUUUUCCCAGACAAAGGUUUUAUUGAAAUCUUUAGGAACUGCAGCUGGGACUUAGUGAGAUUGCAGGCAGUGGUAUUUAAAAGAGGUUUCCAUAAUGAUUUGAUUCGAUGAAGUAACUUUUUUUUUUUCUUAGUGGAAGUAGCUUAAUCAGGACCGUGCUUUCAAGUCUGAGGGUGUCUCUAGCAAACAGUUAACUGAGAGGAUGUUUGAAACGUCUCAUUUAGCAUUUUCUUGUCUUGAUGCAUGGGUUCCCAGUCAUUUCCACUCUUUAUAUUCCGUUUAAAGGCAAACUCCAGCAAUGAUGCAGUUUGUUUCACCUUUCCCCUUAAAUAUCAGACUAGACGGUUUCAGAAGGGAUAGCAACAAGACAAACCAGUAUCCUUCUGGAAGGAGAAGUUAUGACAGCCUGUUAUCAGAUGCAGCUGGUUGUGUGCAAGUGAUGUGAUGAAAGAAACAGCCUGUCUGAUAUUGAUUUUACAGCACUAAUAAAAGAUUUGGGUUCAGGGAUGGCUUUGAAACUUCCUUUCCAUUGCAUGCUCAUUCACAUAUGCAUGCAUUCUCUCACUUGGAUUGAUGAAGUAACAAAAAGGUUAAAAUUACUUUUUUAGGAGGAGGUGGGAAUCAAUUGGGGUGAGUGUAGCUGCUGAGCCUCUGGAGACAACACAGUAGUAAGCUAAAUUGUCAAUGAAAAGGGAAUUGCCCUGUGAAGUAGUUAGUACUGAUACACCAGUGUGGAUUUUCACAGGAAAUACUCUGUCAACCUAUUGCCUGUAGAGAUCCUCUGUAUUGAUGGUAAAAAUAUAGUAGAGGUGCAUUUAUUUUAAGAUUUCAAAGAAGUUGAUGAGAGGAUCUGUCAAAACCCAUCAGAAUAUCGUGUCUGCUCCUAAAAAGGGUGUGCCAUGUGUCUCGUGCAGGGAGGUGUAGUGGUUUAAUACUGUUGAGCUGCUCAGUUCCACUAUUCCAUUAUUCUGCUCUCUUACUCCUUCUCCUCAGAAGGACAGGCCAUAUCCACCAUGGCCCUCUCCAUGGGCUUCAGCUUGCUGUGGAGGCUCUCCAUGAGCUGUGGCCUACUUCAGGACACAUCCACUGCUGCACCGUGGGCUUCUCCAUGAUCCCUGUGGUGCCCAUGGGCUGCGGGGGGAUGUCCUGCUCCACCAUGGGCCUCUCCUGGGCUGCAGAAAACUUCUGCUCCACACCUGGAACUCCUCCCACCCUCCUUCUGCACUGACCUUGAUGGCUGAAGGGCUGUUUCUCUCAAUAUUUGUCACUCCUCUCUCCCACCUGCUGUUGCCCAGCAGUUUUCUCCUUCCUUAGAUCUGCUCUUACAGAGGCACAACCAGCAUCACUCAUGGCUGGGCUCUGGGCAGUGAUGUGGAGGAUGUGCCCCUUGUGGAGCAGCUGGGGAUGUCUCUGAUCUGACAUGGGGCAGCUAAGGGGCUCUGCUCACAUAGUCUAUCACUGCAACUUCCUUCCCUGCUGCCAAAAUCUUGUCACCUAAACAAAGUACAGUUAGUGCUGGAACGAAAGCAAAUUUAGAGAACUGAAGUAGAGCAGAUAUACUGGUUUCUUAUUAAAGAGUUUAAAGAGAAUAUUAAAGUAAAACCUCUAAGAUAAAUUUGAAAUGAUGCCGCCAUUGACAGACAUUCAUUUCUGUCUGAGAUAUCAUACAUGAUGGGAUAAUAAGAAAGGCCAUGCUCAUGGUAUGUUCUUUUAUCUUUUGCUUUUUCACUUGUGAUUAAAAGAAGUGUCCAGGUAUCUUUGUGAGCCUUGUGCAUGGGUUGCAGUUUCAGAUUUGACCCUUGUGUUCUGUUCCAACUGCAGCAGGGGAUUCAUCCUCUAGAAAGUUGUCUUUUUUAAAAUCAGAUUUAAGGGCAAUCUAAACAUCUGGUAGCUGGAGGGAAGCAGGAGAGCAAAUUACUUCUAGUUGGACUGUGGUGAGGCCACAGACCCAUCUUGCAUUUAGCAAGGAUAUUUUGUGGUGGGAAGAGGUGGAGGCAGAAGCUGAGUACUGAGGCCAGUGCAGAGGCCACAACAUUUCGGCUGUGGCAGGUUGGUAUAAUGUCUUCUGUAAUUUACUGGUGCCUUGUGUGUAUGUCUUCUCCAGUGGGCUUAAAAAAGGUUUGCAUCUAACUGCUGGGUCUCUCAGAAGAAGCCACUUGAGCACGUGUUGUUAUGUUUCCCUCUGGAAACCUUGAUGAGCCUCUCUGUCUUGGUUGCUGACUCCACCAGUCCUCUUGGCAUAGUUGCCUUGCCUCUGUCAGCUUGGUGAUUUCCUAGGGCAGGCACUACUGGCAAUGACUUGUGCAAAAGGUGUAUGGCUAGAACAGUGCUCCUGGCCACUUACACAUGUAUUUAACUUCAGUUCAUCAAGGCCCAAUAAAUGAAGCUACUAGAACUAUACAAUAAAAAUACACUUGAUUUUACAUAGAAACACCUUUUAAAUACUAAGCCAUGCCUGGACAUAAAGUAUUAAAACAAACAAACAAACAAAAAACACAGCAAAACACAAAGAAAUGAACAAAACACUGCUGGAUGUUUCCAAGGUAUGCAUAUGUGUAUGGUCUAGGACAAGUGCCCAAUUGCACAAUCAGGAAAAAUAAGUCUCUUGUGUUAGGAUGGGCUAUAUUUUAUUUCAGACAAUCGUAUCUACGUCUUUUGGUGUUAAUCUGUGCCAAGAUUUCUGUUUGUGGUUUCCAUGUGUUCUCGCAUCGUGUCAUUUCAUCUCCGGAGUUGUUUUUUUUUUUUUUUAUUGUCAUACUCAACUUUUUGUUUCAGAUGUGUAACGUUCUUCCUUUUUUUCAUGUCCCAAAAUAAAGCCUCUGUUUUGAUUUGCUUUUUGUAUUUUCUUGGUGAUGUCAACUGAACCGAAUGUGAUGGACUAGUGGUUGAGUUUCUGUUGCUCAGCUUUUUUUUUUUUUGUUACAUUGAUUUUUACAGUGUAAUUUCUACAACAAUUAACAUUCCUCCAGGCUGAGAAUAGCUCUAAUGGAAGCCUGUUUGUGACCUGAGAGAGCAGCAGAAGUGGUCUGGGAGUAGAAAGCUUAAACCAUGAGGUUAAACAGGUCAAAUGAGAAGAAACAGUCAGUUGAAAGAAGUGAAUAGUAUAGGGGAUUAGCAGAAGGGAGGAAGAUUAGUGGCUGGGUUUUGCUGUGAUUGUUACUUAUGUGUAGGUAAAUGGUCUUUGUUCUGUCAUCAACAUUUAGAAGGAUUUUUUUUUUUUUUUCCUAAAGCCUAUAUUGUUGUUUUGUCGAAAUAUAAAAGCUCUGGCCAUUUUUUUCCUUUCCCACAUAGCUCUGAUUUGGAGAGAUUCUGCUCUCACUAGGCAUAGUUUUUUUUCAGACUUCUGUUCAUCAUACAGAAAAUGCCUUAUUUUGGCAAAGACAGCUAAGGACUUGCAAUAUGCCUGUUGCUUUCUCACAGGUGCAUAUGAACCCAAUUUCAAUAGUGAGACAGCACAAAUGUUGCCAGCUUGUUUUACUUUUGCCAUGUACAAGUAGAGUUCAAGACCAGAUAGAGGAAAUGCUGUGUUGACCGGUGCUUGACACUGAAAUGUUUUUGAUUCUUGGCUUGAUUAGUUAGUUGUCUUUAUCUAGUGACACAGAUUUAUUGUCUGUGAUGGUGAAACCAAUUUUUCAAUUGUACAUUUUUACAAAUGAAUACCACAGAGGGCUAAAUCCCUGUGAUUCAUACUACUGCUUUGAAAAGUGACAAUAAGCUAAGUCUUUUCUGGUACACUGUGGCUGAAGCAUCUUAGCAGUGGGUUUUGGGAACAAGCAAAAUUGAAAUGUACAUUACACUGAUUUCUUGUAUUCUUUGUAGGUGCCUUCCCCCAUAUUUAGAUAUUUUGGACAAGCUAAGAGUAUAAAUCUGUACUGUAUGUGACAUAAGAUUGAGAACAGGGUGGCGCAAAGCUAUAUGGGUUUCUUUAGCUCUCCUCAGAGAUUAUGUGCAGUCCAGUGCAAGUUUAACACAGGAUGUUCAGGGUUGUUGCUUCAGAUUGCCUGCAGUGGGAUGUACUGUUCUUUCUAUCCUCUAACGAACAGAAACAAGAAUCAGGUUCUUUUCUAAAAAUCAUCUUAUUUUUGCUAAUCUGUGAUACUGUGCUAAUGGUUUUCCAUUUUGUACGGAAGCAUCUUUCCUUGUCUUGUUAUGUGUAAGGAUAAUGAGUAAUGAGGAAAUGGCUUCAGAGGUGAUAAAGGACAUUACGAAAGUCCUGCUGUGUGUUAACUGUAAGCUAAAUUGUGUUCAGCUCAUCAGCCUAAGGCACAGCUCUCCUGCUGUGUUUCAUCCUUCCUUCCUCCAUUCUCUGUUUUCUGAUAAGCUUUGCAGUCUGGUCUUUGCCAAGAAAGCAUAAAGCAUUGGAAGGAAAAUGGGACUUGAUUGUCUUUAAUGGAGGGUUGGGAAGGCGUGGAGGGAGAAAGAGAAUUAAGGUUUUAAUACUAAGAGCCAGCAUUGAUUCUGAAUGCUUUUAAGGUUGUUCUGAUAAAACUAUUUCAAAAACAACUCCUUCAGAAAUACUGGUGAUCUUAACAAAAUACUGUGAUGGUUGGCAAAAUACUGUGAUGACUGGCAUGCUUUUCUGUGAAAUAUGAACCCCACAGUAGCUAACACAGAGGCCAUUAUAAACCUUUGCCUCCUAAACAUCCAACUGAUAAGCAAAAACAUUAAAAAUAAAUUAAAAAAAAAAAA